GGGUACUUAAUGCAACAGAGUUUUGUUGUAAUCAUUAUUGCAUGCGGUAUUGAUUCACGUAAUAUGUCUGUUUUUUUUUUUUUUUUUUCGUUUUAGAUAUGUUAUUGUUAUCAUGUUAGUAUCAAAUAAGUUAUAAAUGAGAUGAUUCAAAUAUGUUAUAAUGUAAGGAAUAUUAUAUAUUAUUUAAUAAUAUAUCUAAUAAUACAUAUUUUAGUUUUGGGUUUAGACAAUUGCAGCGUGAAUUUUUUUUAUUAAAUAUGUUUUUAGUUCUAUAUUUUGGGACGAUUUU
This 289-nucleotide long non-coding RNA is filed under the name Vigna radiata. RNAcentral describes it as "long non-coding RNA (VRAD_LNC016847)". The record is from RNAcentral. Lineage: Eukaryota; Viridiplantae; Streptophyta; Magnoliopsida; Fabales; Fabaceae.